Molecule: long non-coding RNA, 548 nt
Filed under: Coturnix japonica (Japanese quail)
Lineage: Eukaryota; Metazoa; Chordata; Aves; Galliformes; Phasianidae
Description: lncRNA (ENSCJPG00005012435.1)
Source: RNAcentral
GUUUGUAGUCUCUCAGGAUAUUUUAGAAUUAUACAUCAUAUUUAUGAAUUGUGAUGUGUACUAGCACAUAAUGGUAGAUUGCAGCAUCUUUGUUAGUUGUUGCUCACACAGGGCUCCCUCAGAGACCUAUGGGAACCAGGUACAAGCUCUCAGGAAUGAGUUAACUUGGAUUGAACUCGUUCAUGCUUAAGAAAGAAGAUGGACUGUGGUGUCUACAGCUGCUUCACUGCACUGCAGACAGGCAAUGGAUUUUUUUCAGAGAAUCAAACUAGUGCCUGCUUCCUCCCCAUAAAAAUAUAUAUUAAAUGUCUUCUUGUGCGGUCCAAGUACUCUGCUUCUCUGAGGAAUCUUAGUCUUUCACUGCGUGGUUUAUCCCUUUUCCCUGAUCCUGGAAAGAGGCCAUGAUCCUUGCUCAGACGACUCACAGGAUGUAUCAUUUCCAGACUGGCUACAAAGCAAGUCUGGCCCACCACUGGUAAGUGCACAUCCAGUGCACAGCAUAUGAUUUCUGCUUUCUGAGACUCAGCUAUAAUGGAUAUCAAGUCCCA